UNGAUAGUUCUCGCCUUACUUACCAGAACGC
This 31-nucleotide non-coding RNA is filed under the name Mus musculus (house mouse). The record is from RNAcentral. Lineage: Eukaryota; Metazoa; Chordata; Mammalia; Rodentia; Muridae.